This 751-nucleotide ribosomal RNA is filed under the name uncultured Lachnospiraceae bacterium. RNAcentral's name for it is "bacterial SSU rRNA". It matches the Rfam family "Bacterial small subunit ribosomal RNA", at positions 28 to 776 of the family's 1533-position model. Lineage: Bacteria; Bacillati; Bacillota; Clostridia; Lachnospirales; Lachnospiraceae. The record is from RNAcentral.
GAUGAACGCUGGCGGCGUGCUUAACACAUGCAAGUCGAACGAAGCACUCUAUUUGAUUUUCUUCGGAAAUGAAGAUUUUGUGACUGAGUGGCGGACGGGUGAGUAACGCGUGGGUAACCUGCCUCAUACAGGGGGAUAACAGUUGGAAACGACUGCUAAUACCGCAUAAGCGCACAGGAUUGCAUGAUCCGGUGUGAAAAACUCCGGUGGUAUGGGAUGGACCCGCGUCUGAUUAGCCAGUUGGCAGGGUAACGGCCUACCAAAGCGACGAUCAGUAGCCGACCUGAGAGGGUGACCGGCCACAUUGGGACUGAGACACGGCCCAAACUCCUACGGGAGGCAGCAGUGGGGAAUAUUGCACAAUGGGGGAAACCCUGAUGCAGCGACGCCGCGUGAGCGAAGAAGUAUUUCGGUAUGUAAAGCUCUAUCAGCAGGGAAGAAGAAUGACGGUACCUGACUAAGAAGCACCGGCUAAAUACGUGCCAGCAGCCGCGGUAAUACGUAUGGUGCAAGCGUUAUCCGGAUUUACUGGGUGUAAAGGGAGCGCAGGCGGUGCGGCAAGUCUGAUGUGAAAGCCCGGGGCUCAACCCCGGUACUGCAUUGGAAACUGUCGUACUAGAGUGUCGGAGGGGUAAGUGGAAUUCCUAGUGUAGCGGUGAAAUGCGUAGAUAUUAGGAGGAACACCAGUGGCGAAGGCGGCUUACUGGACGAUAACUGACGCUGAGGCUCGAAAGAGUGGGGAGCAAACAGG